UGAAGUCAGACAGCGGUGUGGCAGUACCAGGUCACGUGGUGCAAGGUGAAAUUACUGUAAGUGGACUUUUACGCCUGCUGGCUAUUUACACAGCUGGAGGUGUGUGAAACAGCUGGAUAAGGACGAUGGGGAAACGCAGCAAAGAGAGCAUGAGACACGAACGCAAGUCUAGUUCAUUAAUUGGUGUGGAAGGAAAUUGUUAUACAGACUGCAGGUGAGAGCCUGAGUGGUUUGGUACCUGUUUCCAGAUGGCAGGAGAGAAAACACUUCUUGGUCCUGGGGAAAUGUUGUUUCGUUUUGUGCUGUAUAUGUUUGGAAUGACAAUAAAAUCCUACUUAAUUGACUUGAUUAUCUAGUAGAACAAAAAUACGUUUAAACUCACCCCUUGAUCUGUUUUUAUUAUAAUGAACUGAUGAGUUAAUUCAUUCAUUCAUCCAAUGUAAUGUUUAGUCAUUUAUUAACUAGAGGCACUUAACAAUUACAGGAAAUAUUUAACAAAAAGUGUUUUUACACUAAUGUUAACUAAUCAACUUGAGCUUCCAACUAACCCUAUUAUCACCCUAAUUAUCAACAUUAUUAACCUAACCUAGCUAAGUAAAUAACAAUUAAUCAAAUUUGUUGGCAGCCUACUAUAUUUCUCAUUUGAAACAUGAUUCUGCAAGGACAGCACAUCUGAUCUAUUACAGUUCAUCAGAUU
This is a long non-coding RNA of Silurus meridionalis, 697 nucleotides long. RefSeq lists it as uncharacterized. NCBI's taxonomy places the organism in Eukaryota, Metazoa, Chordata, Actinopteri, Siluriformes, Siluridae. The record is from RefSeq and is a predicted model, not a curated record. The transcript has 3 exons.